UAAGUGAGUUAAAUAAGUCCUUCUUGAUGUC
RNAcentral lists this non-coding RNA (31 nucleotides) under Mus musculus (house mouse). The record is from RNAcentral. Lineage: Eukaryota; Metazoa; Chordata; Mammalia; Rodentia; Muridae.